CGCGCUUUCGUUGAUGAAUUACAGAUGCUUGCACCGAACAUGAUUUUAGCUAUAAAGUGAGUGGCGAACGGGCGAGUAACACGUGGGUAACCUGCCCAGAAGUGGGGGAUAACACCUGGAAACAGAUGCUAAUACCGCAUAACAAAGUAAACCGCAUGGUUUACUUUUAAAAGAUGGCUUCCGCUAUCACUUCUGGAUGGACCCGCGGCGUACUAGGUAGUUGGUGAGAUAAAGGCUCACCAAG
RNAcentral lists this ribosomal RNA (244 nucleotides) under Pediococcus parvulus. RNAcentral describes it as "partial 16S ribosomal RNA". It matches the Rfam family "Bacterial small subunit ribosomal RNA", at positions 45 to 272 of the family's 1533-position model. Lineage: Bacteria; Bacillati; Bacillota; Bacilli; Lactobacillales; Lactobacillaceae. The record is from RNAcentral.